This 238-nucleotide long non-coding RNA is filed under the name Lathyrus oleraceus (garden pea). RNAcentral's name for it is "Pisum sativum (pea) long non-coding RNA (PSAT_LNC035780)". The record is from RNAcentral. Lineage: Eukaryota; Viridiplantae; Streptophyta; Magnoliopsida; Fabales; Fabaceae.
AAAAUAAGUCAAUCUGGUUUUAAUUACUGAUUGAAUGGCGCAUUCAAUCUUCACAUCAAUCACACAUAAAUUAACAUAAAAAGUACAAUCAUACAAUACAUCACAUUUAGACUGAAUGUUUUGUAUACAGAUGUAUUGACAUCGGGUCUGACAUCUCAGCAAAAUCCUGAACAUCCACAUUUUAAACACCCUGCAGGAUCCUGUUAUCUUAUGUCAAGACAACACUUGUGACAACUUG